This is a long non-coding RNA of Mytilus trossulus (common blue mussel), 866 nucleotides long. RefSeq lists it as uncharacterized. Lineage: Eukaryota; Metazoa; Mollusca; Bivalvia; Mytilida; Mytilidae. The record is from RefSeq and is a predicted model, not a curated record. The transcript has 3 exons.
GACCCCCUCCCCCACACCAAUCCCGAGACGAUCCUUACUUCAACUGUUAUUUGAUACUGCCGAGUUGUUUUGAGACACACGUAUAAGUAGUCAGCCUGUACCACGUAGAAAGCCUCUUGCAUCAAUUUGAGGAUUACCGAUCAUCACUGAUCAUUACCCAAGGUUAAUAUUUUACGGCGGCUCAUUUUAUUUUGGCUUAAAAAUAAACACAAUUGACCAGUUUCUUUCCCCUGCAUUCUUGAUCGCACAUGUAAAUAGCACGUUGGUCUCAAAUAAGACAGUGAUACAAUGCAACACUUGCCGUCAGUAUUUGAAAAUAUUGAUCAAGAAGGUUGUCAGCAAGAUGAAAAGAACAAAUAUGCAGUUAAAAGUCAAAAUGUGGAUAAGCUUCAUGGUUCAAGGUCCUACCUUUGCAGAUUUUCAUAUUUUGCAUGAAUGAAUUUCAAGUUUAUAUCAUGGACGGCAGUGAAAGAAAAAAAAUCUUUUCAAUUUUCCUGCUACGAAGGAUAAAUGUAAAGACAUCUUGUUUUCGAAGGAUUGAAAUUCAUCACCUAGAAUAAAUGAAGAAAACAUAGAAACAAGACCAGAAUACAUUCAAAGACAAUGUUGGAUCAGUUAUUAUUUUCAUCAGUCAGUCAAUGAUUUAGAGUUCUUUAAAAUACCAAACGAUCUUGAAACCACAAUGUCAAUGUUCUUUGCUGAAUGACCAAAAAGUGGACUAUACAAACACACAAUGCUUGAUGAUAAGAAACUAUUAAUGUUUUGUGUGGAGGGAUAUUGUGAAAAAAAAUACAUUUACUUAAAUAGCUACUAGUAUGUUUAGCCUAAUAAUAGAGUUUUUCACUGAUUUCAAAUGGUAAAUAUUU